UGGCUAAUAUCCGGUAAGCUUACGGUGACUUCGGUCGCUGUGAGAAAAGUAGAUCUCUAUUUAUAAGUUUAUGUCUAGAGAUGAGCCCGCGGCCCAUCAGCUAGUUGGCGGGGUAACGGCCCAUCAAGGCUAUGACGGGUAGCUGGUCUGAGAGGACGAUCAGCCACACUGGAAUUGAGAUAUGGUCCAGACUCCUAUGGGAGGCAGUAGUGGGGAAUUUUCCACAAUGGGCGAAAGCCUGAUGGAGCAACGCCGCGUGUGUGAUGAAGGUCUUCGGAUCGUAAAGCACUUUCGACCGGGAAGAAAAACCUUUGGCUAAUAUCCAGGGGCUUGACGGUACCGGGAGAAGAAGCACCGGCUAACUCUGUGCCAGCAGCCGCGGUAAUACAGAGGGUGCAAGCGUUGUUCGGAAUUAUUGGGCGUAAAGUGCGUGUAGGCGGCUUGGCAAGUCAGAUGUGAAAGUCCUCGGUUUAACCGAGGAAGUGUGUCUGAAACUGCUGAGCUUGAGUCUCGGAGAGGAUGGCGGAAUUCCGCAAGUAGAGGUGAAAUUUGUAGAUAUGCGGAGGAAUAUUGGUGGUGAAGGUGGCCAUCUGGACGAUUACUGACGCUGAGACGCGAAAGCGUGGGGAGUAAAUAGGAUUAGAUAUCCUGGUAGUCCACGCUGUAAACGAUGAGAACUAGGUGUCGUGGGUGUUGAUCCCCGCGGUGCCGUAGUUAAUGUAUUAAGUUCUCCGCCUGGGAAGUACGGCCGUAAGGCUAAAACUCAAAAGAAUUGACGGGGGCCCGCACAAGCGGUGGACCAUGUGGUUUAAUUUGAUCCAUGUGCAGAACUUUACCCAGACUUGACAUUUAUCAAAUCCGGCUUAAAAGUUGGAGUGCCCGUAAGGGAAUGGUAAGACAGGUGCUGUAUGGCUGUCGUCAGCUCGUGUUGUGAGAUGUUGGGUUAAGUCCCGCAACGAGCGCAACCCUCGCCUUUAGUUGCUCCGUAAGGAGAUCUCUAGAGGGACCGCCAGUGAUAAGCUGGAGGAAGGUGGGGAUGACGUCAAGUCCUCAUGGCCUUUAUGUCUGGGGCUACACACGUGCUAUAAUGGCGAGUAUAAAGCGUUGCUAACCCGUGAGGGGGAGCUAAUCGCAUAAAACUCGUCUCAGUUCGGAUCGGAGUCUGUAAUUCGGCUCCGUGAAGUCGGAAUCGCUAGUAAUCGCAGAUCAGUAUGCUGCGGUGAAUAUGUUCUCGGGCCUUGUAUAUACCGCCCGUCACACCAUGGGAGUCAAUUGCUCCAGAAGUCACCACAAUAUGGUGGUGCCCAAGGAGUGAUUGGUAACUGGGGUGAAGUUGAAAUAAGGUA
Molecule: ribosomal RNA, 1346 nt
Filed under: metagenome
Description: bacterial SSU rRNA
Rfam family: Bacterial small subunit ribosomal RNA
Source: RNAcentral